UUGAACGCUGGCGGAAUGCUUUACACAUGCAAGUCGAACGGCAGCACGGGGGCAACCCUGGUGGCGAGUGGCGAACGGGUGAGUAAUGUAUCGGAACGUACCCAGUCGUGGGGGAUAACUAUCCGAAAGGAUAGCUAAUACCGCAUACGUCCUGAGGGAGAAAGCGGGGGAUCGCAAGACCUCGCGCGAUUGGAGCGGCCGAUAUCGGAUUAGCUAGUUGGUGAGGUAAAGGCUCACCAAGGCGACGAUCCGUAGCGGGUCUGAGAGGACGACCCGCCACACUGGAACUGAGACACGGUCCAGACUCCUACGGGAGGCAGCAGUGGGGAAUUUUGGACAAUGGGGGAAACCCUGAUCCAGCCAUUCCGCGUGAGUGAAGAAGGCCUUCGGGUUGUAAACUGCUUUUGUACGGAACGAAAAAGUCUUCUCUAAUACAGGGGGCGAAUGACGGUACCGUAAGAAUAAGCACCGGCUAACUACGU
Molecule: ribosomal RNA, 482 nt
Filed under: uncultured bacterium
Lineage: Bacteria
Description: bacterial SSU rRNA
Rfam family: Bacterial small subunit ribosomal RNA
Source: RNAcentral